UAUGACUCUUAUCAAAGUAGCGAAAUACCUCGUCACUUAAUUAGUGACCUGCAUGAACGGAGCUAUGAGGUUCUCACUGUCCCAAACUGUCUCUCAGCGAACCAACUGUAGUGGGAACGGGCACUAACUAUCCAGCGGGGAAAGAAGACCCUGUAGAGCUUCACUUUGGUCUAGUCUUGUAUAGUUCUGGCGGGGACUCAGCUAGGUGGGAGAGCAAUCGACCAUGAGAAACCACUGCCCUGUUUAGAAUUAUACUUACCUUUACAACCAAGGAAUAGGACUAGAUAGAAAGUUUGGCUGGGGCGGCACACCUUCGAAAGAGCAGCGAAGGUGUCCUAAGUUGAGCUCAGUGAGGACAGAAAUCUCACGUUGAGGAUAAGGCCAAAAGCUCAUUUUACUGUGCCUUUUUGUACUAGGACCAGUUACGAAAGUAAGGCCUAACGAUCCC
Molecule: ribosomal RNA, 448 nt
Filed under: Weissella confusa
Lineage: Bacteria; Bacillati; Bacillota; Bacilli; Lactobacillales; Lactobacillaceae
Description: partial 23S ribosomal RNA
Rfam family: Eukaryotic large subunit ribosomal RNA
Source: RNAcentral